UAGGGCCACAUCAAGUUGAAACCUCAGUCCUCGUCCGAUCACCGAUGUUAAGCAAAGUCGAGCCUGGUCAGUACCUAGAUGGGUGACCGCUUGGAAAUGCC
Acanthosepion pharaonis is the source of this 101-nucleotide non-coding RNA. Lineage: Eukaryota; Metazoa; Mollusca; Cephalopoda; Sepiida; Sepiidae. The record is from the annotation of a GenBank genome assembly.